RNAcentral lists this ribosomal RNA (514 nucleotides) under Mesomexovis subcristatus. RNAcentral describes it as "eukaryotic LSU rRNA". It matches the Rfam family "Eukaryotic large subunit ribosomal RNA", at positions 666 to 1138 of the family's 3401-position model. The record is from RNAcentral. Lineage: Eukaryota; Metazoa; Arthropoda; Arachnida; Scorpiones; Vaejovidae.
CCAAGGAGUCUAACAUGUGCGCGAGUCGUCGGGUCUUGAAUAGGCCCGCAGGCGAAAUGAAAGUGAAGGGCGACCCAGUCGUCGUCUGCGUUGGGAUCCCUGGACCGCAGCGUCCGGGGCGCACCAACGGCCCGUCCCGUCCGCGUCGUCGGUGGGACGGAGCGAGAGCGUACACGUUGGGACCCGAAAGAUGGUGAACUAUGCCUGGGCAGGACGAGGCCAGAGGAAACUCUGGUGGAGGUCCGCAGCGAUUCUGACGUGCAAAUCGAUCGUCAGACCUGGGUAUAGGGGCGAAAGACUAAUCGAACCGUCUAGUAGCUGGUUCCCUCCGAAGUUUCCCUCAGGAUAGCUGGCGCUCGAGGGAGUCAGUCUCAUCCGGUAAAGCGAAUGAUUAGAGGCCUUGGGGCCGAAACGACCUCAACCUAUUCUCAAACUUUCAAUGGGUGAGAAGUCCGGUUUACAUGACUGAAGCCCGGACAAUUCUCAGGAUGCGAGUGCCCAGUGGGCCACUUUU